Molecule: long non-coding RNA, 2422 nt
Organism: Cuculus canorus (common cuckoo)
Lineage: Eukaryota; Metazoa; Chordata; Aves; Cuculiformes; Cuculidae
Exons: 3
Source: RefSeq, a predicted model, not a curated record
GAACAUCGGUGGCUUUGAGGAGGUCCUGAGGGCUUCUGGAGGUCAGAGGUGGAACGUCGGUGGCUUUGAGGAGGUCCUGAGGGCUUCUGGAGAUCAGAGGUGGAACAUCGGUGGCUUUGAGGAGGUCCUGAGGGCUUCUGGAGGUCAGAGGUGGAACAGCGGUGGCUUUGAGGAGGUCCUGAGGGCUUCUGGAGGUCAAUGGACCUCCAAAGGUGGAACGUCGGUGGCUUUGAGGAGGUCCUGAGGGCUUCUGGAGGUCAAUGGACCUCCAAAGGUGGAACAUCGGUGGCUUUGAGGAGGUCCUGAGGGCUUCUGGAGGUCAGAGGUGGAACAUCGGUGGCUUUGAGGAGGUCCUGAGGGCUUCUGGAGGUCAAUGGACCUCCAGAGGUGGAACAUCGGUGGCUUUGAGGAGGUCCUGAGGGCUUCUGGAGGUCAAUGGACCUUCAGAGGUGGAACGUCGGUGGCUUUGAGGAGGUCCUGAGGGCUUCUGGAGGUCAGAGGUGGAACGUCGGUGGCUUUGAGGAGGUCCUGAGGGCUUCUGGAGGUCAAUGGACCUCCAGAGGUGGAACAUCGGUGGCUUUGAGGAGGUCCUGAGGGCUUCUGGAGGUCAAUGGACCUCCAGAGGUGGAACAUCGGUGGCUUUGAGGAGGUCCUGAGGGCUUCUGGAGAUCAAUGGACUUCCAGAGGUGGAACAUCGGUGGCUUUGAGGAGGUCCUGAGGGCUUCUGGAGGUCAAUGGAUCUCCAGAGGUGGAACAUCGGUGGCUUUGAGGAGGUCCUGAGGGCUUCUGGAGGUCAGAGGUGGAACAUCGGUGGCUUUGAGGAGGUCCUGAGGGCUUCUGGAGGUCAAUGGACCUCCGGAGGUGGAACUUUGGUGGCUUUGAGGAGGUCCUGAGGGCUUCUGGAGGUCAGAGGUGGAACAUUGGUGGCUUUGAGGAGGUCCUGAGGGCUUCUGGAGGUCAAUGGACCUCCAGAGGUGGAACUUUGGUGGCUUUGAGGAGGUCCUGAGGGCUUCUGGAGGUCAGAGGUGGAACGUCGGUGGCUUUGAGGAGGUCCUGAGGGCUUCUGGAGGUCAAUGGAUCUCCAAAGGUGGAACAUCGGUGGCUUUGAGGAGGUCCUGAGGGCUUCUGGAGGUCAGAGGUGGAACGUCGGUGGCUUUGAGGAGGUCCUGAGGGCUUCUGGAGGUCAAUGGACCUCCAGAGGUGGAACAUCGGUGGCUUUGAGGAGGUCCUGAGGGCUUCUGGAGAUCAAUGGACCUCCAGAGGUGGAACACUGGUGGUCUCCAAGAGGUCCUGAGGCUCCUCAAGGUUCUUCUGAGGUGAUUUGGGCUCUUUGAGGUCCUUCUGAGGUGGCCAAGAUGGACCUCGAGGUGCUUCUGAGGUGGUUGAGAUGGUCCUCAAGGUCCUUCUCAGGUGGCCAAGGUGGUCCUUAAGGUCCUUCUGAGGUGUUCUGGUCUCCUCGAGGUCCUUCUGAGGUGGCUGAGGUGGUCCCUGAAGUUCUGAGGUGGCCAAGUUGGACCUUGAGGUCCUUCUGAGGUGGUUUGGUUUCCUUGAGGUCCUUCUGAGGUGGCCAAGAUGGUCUUUGAGGUCCUUCUGAGGUGGCUGAGAUGAUCCCUGAAGUUCUGAAGCGACCAAGUUGGACCUUGAGGUCCUUCUGAGGUGGCCAAGAUGGUCCUUGAGGUUCUUCUGAGGUGGCCAAGAUGGUCCCUGAGGUUCUUCUGAGGUGGUUUGGGCUCCCUGAGGUCCUUCUGAGGUGGCCAAGAUGGUCCUUGAGGUCCUUCUGAGGUGGCUGAGAUGAUCCCUGAAGUUCUGAGGUGGCCAAGUUGGACCUUGAGGUCCUUCUGAGGUGGCUAAGAUGGACCUCAAAGUCCUUCUGAGGUGGUCCCUGAAGUUCUGAGGUGGCCAAGUUGGCCCUCAAGGUCCUUCUGAGGUGGUCCCUGAAGUUCUGAGGUGGCCAAGUUGGACCUCGAGGUCCUUCUGAGAUGGUCCCUGAAGUUCUGAGGUGGCCAAGUUGGACCUCAAGGUCCUUCUGAGGUGGUCCCUGAAGUUCUGAGGUGACCAAGAUGGACCUCAAGGUCCUUCUGAGGUGGUCCCUGAAGUUCUGAGGUGGCCAAGAUGGACCUUGAGGUCCUUCUGAGGUGGUUGAGAUGGUCCUCAAGGUCCUUCUGAGGUGGUCCCUGAGGUUCUGAGGUGGCCAAGAUGGUCCUUGAGGUCCUUCUGAGGUGGUUGAGGUGGUCCCUGAGGUUCUGAGGUGGCCAAGAUGGACCUCAAGGUCCUUCUGAGAUGGUCCCUGAAGUUCUGAGGUGGCCAAGAUGGACCUCAAGUUCCUUCUGAGGUGGUCCCUGAAGUUCUGAGGUGGCCAAGAUGGACCUCGAGGUCCUCCUGAGAUGUUCCUGGAGAUGCCCUCACGGCGGGUGGUGUCCUC